Molecule: non-coding RNA, 27 nt
Filed under: Bombyx mori (domestic silkworm)
Lineage: Eukaryota; Metazoa; Arthropoda; Insecta; Lepidoptera; Bombycidae
Source: RNAcentral
UCACUUUGUAGGCGUUACUGUGGUGUC